RNA transcript from Bombus terrestris (buff-tailed bumblebee), 4614 nucleotides. RefSeq lists it as uncharacterized. The record is from RefSeq and is a predicted model, not a curated record. Lineage: Eukaryota; Metazoa; Arthropoda; Insecta; Hymenoptera; Apidae. The transcript has 8 exons.
AUGUACAUUUUUUAUCAUAAACAGAAUACAACAUUGAAAAGAAAUGUACAAAGGAUGCGGACUGUACAAAAUUGAGAGAUGCAACUUGCAGAUUUUUGAAAAUUUGUAGAUGUAAUCGUGCAAAUUUUUUUAACACAACUAAUGAAAGAAAUGUAUUCCAGGUUUCAAAAUAUCAUAAAAAGAGAUUUAUAUAUAUUUGUUAAAAUGCUCUACCCGUAAAAUUCACUUUUCAUGGGAAUAGCAUAGAUUCACAACGCUAUUUUUUAGUACAGAUGAGCCGCUGAUAGUGUUAAUAUCAAAGAAGAUUGGGAAUGUUCCAAGAGACUUAUAACUAUGUAUUUUAUCAUUGCAAAAUUUUCUGAAAUGUCUUCUUUGCUUAAACAAGGAUGAAAACAAACAUUUCUUAACGCAAACUAUUCUCGUAGAACUUGGAAAACCAUGUGAAACUGGAGCGAAUAAAAUUCGAAUCGAAGGUUCGGAAUGUCGAAACGGCACAUGGUUUUGUAAACUGGAGAAAGUUGCUUCUAAAGAUAAUAGAAAAUGUGAAACAGUAACUGUACAAUAUAACGAUACUUGCGAAAACGCUGUGCAGUGUUAAGCUUUCGGACCAGAUGCUAUCUGCAAAGAUAAACGAUGUGCUUGAAAUGAGAAAUCUCCGUUUAACGAGACUGAGUUGUUUUGUUGGACAAAAAGAGGGAUAGGUGAAUCGUGUCACCAAAACGUAGAUUGUUAUAUUGAUGGUAUCGAUACUAAGUAAUUUUGCGAUGCAAGGAAGUUAUGUUUCUGCCCAACUCAAGCAACCAAUAAUAAGACAACCUGUGUGAAAGAUAUAAGUGAUCUUGGAGAUAUUUGUGAAAUAGAUAACGAUUGUACAAAACGGAUCAAGAAUGCAAAAUGUACAGACAUGACUUGUGUUUGUAUAGAUACUUAUUACGAGUUAAACAAGCAAUGCGUGCCUGGUCUCAAUUCCAGUUGCAUUUCUAAUGCUAGUUGUGUACCAAAAGAUUCAAUAUGCAAAUCGAAUGAUUGCAUUUGUAAGGAACAGUACAUGACUGAAUCAGCCGACACGUGUGUUCAAGCCUUUUCGUAUGGAAAACCUUGCGAUAAAAAUAUUCAGUGUUCUGCUGUGAUACCAAACGCAGUUUGUUUACCUCGUCCAACUUCAAACUCGAGUUGCGUAUGCGCCUGUCCUAAAGGUUAUCAUUACAAGUUCAAGAAAUGUUUCAAACGAAAAGGUACGAAAAUAUAUACAUGUGUGCUGUGUACAAUUUCAUGACUCGUUAAUUAACCUGUUAACAAGGAAAGGCGAAUUAAUGUUCACAAAUACACCCCCUUAAUUAAGAUUUUGUCGCGUCAAUCCCAAAAUUUUUUUUUAUUAUAUUCGCGAGUGGCAACUCGAAACCCGCAAUUUAUAUAUUUUCUCUUCAUAAUGUGAUAAAUAAUAGAUCGUAAAGAAAUUUUACACAUAAAAAAAGCCAAAAUUUAAUCUCAUUCAAAUUAUUUCUUGCAAAGCUCCUUACAAUUAUUAAGUUCGAUUAUCUUUUUUCAUUGACAAUCAAAGAUAUAACGUCGUUCUUGGACUAAUUUUUAUCAGGCAAACGUUAAUAAUCGACUGGUAAUAAUUUCAUGACAAUUCAUAUUUCCAUUGCCGGAUGAUUUAUUAAAUGCCAGAAAGUAUCACUUUCAUUUCAUGGAUUUAUUGCGAAAUUCGAAUAUUAUUCGUUUCUUUUUUAUCUCUCAUUCGAGAUAUAAUAUCGUCAUAACAUAUUUUACCAUUACAUACCUAGGAAUUACUGGCUCAUGAUAUCUUACAUGUACGUAACGAAAACUGCGCAAGAGUAAAUAGGAAAAUGACGAAUUUGCGAUCGUAGUCGUACAAUUAUCUAGAACCAGUUGAAUAAGACGUACAUCGAGCAAACAAGUUGAAAAUGAUAUUGGACAUCUAAUAAUUCGCUGAAAAUUGUGCAGUGUUUGCGUUUAAAGGAAGUUUACAUGCGCGAUAUUUAAACAAAUUUUCUUUCUUCAGCUAGUUGCAUGUAGAUUAAUAAAAAUACUUGUAUUCGUUGAAUUCUUUCGGUUCUUGGUAUGAACUGCAAGAAUCUCGGAGAAUGUUAUCUGAAUUCCGGGGUUGGAGUGGACUGCAAGAACGGUCAGAGCGCAUGCGACUGGAAUUACAUUCAACGAAAUGACACUGUGUGCGACUUCAACAAGGAAGGGGAGGGGCGAGGAAGGCGAAGAGGAAGUUGUGACAUAAAAAAAGAAAAGAAAAUAAAAAAGACCACGAACCGUUGAGCUGCAAUCUCUAUGGAUUAUCAGGUUCAAAAGGCUUAAUGCACAAAGGCCGCCCAAGGCAGGUGAAUGUGGUGAAGUUGGGAGGGUGUGUCUCAGGAAGAAAGCGGAUGAAUAGUACUGAAACGAAAGGGGGUGCGCGAUAACUGUUGAUCUCUCGUCGACUCUGCCCUCGAACGGCGACAGAAGAACCGAAAUAAGCACGUGACAUUAUCUUGAAAACAAUGAGACUCCGAUACGGUAUUUACCAGCGAUCGAACGACGAAAAUGUUCUUGGCGAUGUUCCUUUAUUGUCGAUUUCGAGUACUAUUAUUCCAUGACCAAUUUAACAAUAAUACUAUUAGAUAUCGUAAAUUAAAAAAGGAAGAUUUUCUGGUGGAUAUAGGCCGAUCUAACAAAAUUGUUCUUGUGUUAUACUGUUACAAGAAAAACCUGGAUUCUAAUACUAAAUUUUGAUGUCCGAAAUGUAAGUUAAUUUCGAAGCAAGCAUAUGUUGUAGAGUGUUAUACUUUGUAUCUGGCUAAGUAUAUCAUGAUAAAACUCUGUUUAAAUGCCAUUCGUUUCAAUGAAUUUGCAUAAACAUCUGCGUUGUCCAGACGAGUUAUAAUAUAAAGGCAUUGACUUUAAAUAUGUUAAUUAUUGAAAUAUAUUUAACGCGUAAAUUUAUCUCAAAUUACGUAAUAAAUUCCAUCACUAUAAUAGAAACUAUCCGGUUACCAUUAAACAAAGCAAAUGAUUUGCGUGAGUAGAUAAUAGUUUCAGCAAAUUUUUAUUACGCCUACUGUACCAUCUAACGUUUCUGUACCGUUCUCGUGACAGAUAUCAUGACGAAAAGUACUUCACCCUUACUCUGUCUCUCUUUUCACGAAAGGGUGAAUAAAACGCAGCGUGAAAUUGUGCGAGACUCGUCGUGUCAAGUAUAAUGACUUGACGGUUCGUACCACCUAUGUGAACCGUAUCUAGAUGCCAACAGGAAUGAAAAUAAAUGGGAAGGACAUAUGUGAACAAUUUAUGAUGUCCUUCUCUUUCUUCUGUUUUUAAGAAAGAAACUUCUGUUUUGGUAUAAUGGUUUUCGUUCAGGCAUAGGCAAACGAACAAAUGAUUACGACGCCUCGUUACCAUUUUUAACGAGGAUAUCGUUUAAUCUCUGACACUCUCUGAUAUGCUUGUUACAGUGAUAUAAAUUGUUUAUCAGACGAUUGGCCACCGGACGUGAAAUUUUCAGUUCGAACUGUGCAGAAUAAUAUUUCUUAGAAUUGUCCAUAUUGGAAUACGUAUUUCUAAUUUUAUUUAUUAAUUACUGUUGGAAAUAUCCUAAUGGAGGAAGUUAAAAAGAAUCGUAUAUAAAAUAUUACAUUUAUUAUGGAAUAUAAAGAAUAAAUUAGAAAACCUAAAUGGUAAUAUACACUUGCUACAGAGUUGUUUAGAGCUGUUUUUCCGAAAUUCUUCGCAAGUAUCUAAAAUUCGUUUUUCAAUUGAAAAUACGAUGUAGGUAAACUUCGGACCUGAAGGCUUAUCAUUUUCUUUUUGGAUAGUAAAAGUAAAUUCAUUAUUACCUAAAACAGAAACAUAAUAUUCAUAAUAUGGCAAUAUAUCGUUCUCUGUUCUCUAAGAAAAAUAUGAAAGAAUAAAAAUACAACAAGGAUCGUUCCUAAUAUCUAAAACUUAAUAUUUAAGACCUGACAUAAAAGUAUAUAAGAGUUAUGAUAGAAGUAAAUGAUUCUAUAGAAUGAAUUGAUACUAUUGUUUGUUAUUAUAUUUAUACAUUUGUGAUAGCUAAUGGAUAAUUCCAACACUAGAGCAUUAAUAACUAUUAGUUAUCAUCAGAGUGCACUGCAUAAUUUAUUUAUCUAUUGAAUUUAUCUUUUUGUUCAAUAGUAUAUGUAACACUUACGUAUUUAUAAAAACGGUGUAUCUCGAGUUAAUGCUCUUAGUGUUGGUGAGCUGAAUGAUCUCCAUGACUCAUAGUAUUUGAAUCAUACAUUAUAAAGAACAUUAUACACCAAACACAAAAGAGUACCACGAAGAGAACUAACGUUAUACUGUUAAAUGUAUCCCAUCCGAGUAUUAUUUCAUUAACUGUCUUGAACUCUUUUUUAAAUACAAUUCUUGUACUUGUACCGCAAAUUGUUUCUCCAUUUUGACUAUAAGCGUUCAUCUUAAACUUAUCUGUGUUACUAUUUUUGUACUAUAACAAAUAUUUUAUAUUUAACCUGUGAUAGCUCUCCUGCACCGACAAUCCACUGAAUGAUCGAAAUACUGAUUAUGUUGUACAAUAAAUAGUGACUCCUGAUUAGAUAACGAUCGUGUCCAAUUGAUUAUAGU